RNAcentral lists this long non-coding RNA (904 nucleotides) under Mytilus galloprovincialis (Mediterranean mussel). The record is from RNAcentral. Lineage: Eukaryota; Metazoa; Mollusca; Bivalvia; Mytilida; Mytilidae.
AUAAUUUGACAAUUCUAUAAUGUCAUAGUAUCAGUUUUUACUUAAUAUUUAUAUUACAGAUAAUUCUAAAAUUGUUCUUAUUUCCUCCUAAAUAAAAUACUUAUCUAAGAUAACAUAGGUUCAAUUGGAACAGUCAAAUUCAAUGUAUUCAAAUGAGAUCAUUCCUGUAAGUUUGUAAACAAUGGAAACGGGACACCUGGUGUUCCUUCCAAAGCAACUGUUUCAGGAAGGGUUACAUGUUUUACUUCAGUUUUUGGAGGUAAGAAAAAGUUAGUGUAUUAGCAUUAAUGCAUUUGAUUACAAAGCCAAUACGAUAUAUAUAUAUAAGUGAAACUAUACCAUAUGGUAAAAUAAUUAUCGACGUUGAAAAAGGAUCGACAAGGCCGAUGUUAAAGAGACAAACAAAAACACCAAAGUUCUCAAAAAGUAAAAUUGAGAACGCUUACGUAUAAUUAACAGAAUCAUAACAAAAUAUGAACUAAAUCGUUUAAGAAAAAAAUAACCUUUAAAAUUCAAGUAGAAGAACCAACUGUUAGACUCGUAGCAAGAUACAUCCAGAUUGAUUUAUUGUGGUUUCGAGUAUGUCAAGUUUGCAAACAUGCAAGCAUAUUCAGAACGAAAGCAAGUAAGUUAUACAUGAAUUCGAUAAGUUCACAAGUGAAAAAGAAACGAGGGUAUUUGGUUUGAUGAUUUUUUAUGUGUACGCCCUGUAAACAUAUACGCCAUGUGAAGAUUCCUCUGUACAACAUGUUAAAUGUAAUGCCUUAUUUUAAUCGGAGAUGCUCAUCUAUAAAUGCCGCACAGAAAAAUACGCCUUAUUUUGAUAUUGGAUCUACGUCAGAUUAGAGUACCAGGAGAUAACAUAAUGUUCUCUAAUUUUUGUGAUAUUUUCACAUUUCCUGAC